Molecule: ribosomal RNA, 270 nt
Filed under: uncultured archaeon
Lineage: Archaea
Description: partial 16S ribosomal RNA
Rfam family: Archaeal small subunit ribosomal RNA
Source: RNAcentral
CAGCACCUCAAGUGGUCAGGAUGAUUAUUGGGCCUAAAGCAUCCGUAGCCGGCGCUGUAAGUUUUCGGUUAAAUCUGUACGCUCAACGUACAGGCUGCCGGGAAUACUGCAGCGCUAGGGAGUGGGAGAGGUAAACGGUACUCGGUAGGAAGGGGUAAAAUCCUUUGAUCUAUUGAUGACCACCUGUGGCGAAGGCGGUCUACCAGAACACGUCCGACGGUGAGGGAUGAAAGCUGGGGGAGCAAACCGGAUUAGAUACCCGAGUAGUCC